This 460-nucleotide ribosomal RNA is filed under the name uncultured bacterium. RNAcentral's name for it is "partial 16S ribosomal RNA". It matches the Rfam family "Bacterial small subunit ribosomal RNA", at positions 338 to 795 of the family's 1533-position model. The record is from RNAcentral.
CCUACGGGAGGCUGCAGUGAGGAAUAUUGGUCAAUGGACGAGAGUCUGAACCAGCCAAGUAGCGUGAAGGAAGACUGCCCUAUGGGUUGUAAACUUCUUUUAUAUGAGAGUAAAAUGUUCCACGUGUGGGAUGUUGUAAGUACCAUAUGAAUAAGGAUCGGCUAACUCCGUGCCAGCAGCCGCGGUAAUACGGAGGAUCCGAGCGUUAUCCGGAUUUAUUGGGUUUAAAGGGUGCGUAGGUGGAUUGUUAAGUCAGUUGUGAAAGUUUGCGGCUUAACCCUAAAAUUGCCGUUGAUACUGGCAGUCUAGAGAGCAGUAGCGGUGGGCGGAAUGUGUGGUGUAGCGAUGAAAUGCUUAGAGAGCACGAAGAACUCCGAUUGCGAAGGCAGCUUACCGGACUGCAACUGACACUGAGGCUCGAAAGUGUGGGUAGCAAACAGGAUUAGAUACCCCGGUAGUC